RNAcentral lists this transfer RNA (96 nucleotides) under Neurospora crassa. RNAcentral's name for it is "tRNA predict as a tRNA- Gln : anticodon ctg". It matches the Rfam family "tRNA". Rfam says of the family: Transfer RNA (tRNA) molecules are approximately 80 nucleotides in length. The record is from RNAcentral. RNAcentral also lists the same sequence under 1 other name. Lineage: Eukaryota; Fungi; Ascomycota; Sordariomycetes; Sordariales; Sordariaceae.
GGUUGUAUAGUGUAGCGGUUAUCACUCCGGAUUCUGAGUCUCCAAAUCAUCAGAAAGUAUAUUCCGGCAACCCCGGUUCGAUUCCGGGUACGACCU